AUGCAGUCGAGCGCGAAUGGGGAAACCCUAGUAGAGCGGCGCACGGGUGCGUAACACGUGGAUAAUCUGCCUGGAUGCCUGGGAUAACCAGUCGAAAGAUUGGCUAAUACCGGAUAAGCCCACGGUCUCUUCGGAGACUGAGGGAAAAGGUGGCCUCUGUAUACAAGCUAUCACAACCAGAUGAGUCCGCGGCCCAUCAGCUAGUUGGCGGGGUAAUGGCCCACCAAGGCAACGACGGGUAGCUGGUCUGAGAGGACGAUCAGCCACACUGGAACUGAGACACGGUCCAGACUCCUACGGGAGGCAGCAGUGGGGAAUUUUGCGCAAUGGGCGAAAGCCUGACGCAGCAACGCCGCGUGUGUGAUGAAGGUCUUUGGAUUGUAAAGCACUUUCGACCGGGACGAAAACCCGGAGGCUAACAUCCUCCGGCUUGACGGUACCGGGAGAAGAAGCACCGGCUAACUCUGUGCCAGCAGCCGCGGUAAUACAGAGGGUGCAAGCGUUGUUCGGAAUUAUUGGGCGUAAAGCGCGUGUAGGCGGCUUUGCAAGUCGGGUGUGAAAGCCCUCAGCUCAACUGAGGAAGUGCGCCCGAAACUGCAGAGCUUGAGUGCCGGAGAGGGUGGCGGAAUUCCCCAAGUAGAGGUGAAAUUCGUAGAUAUGGGGAGGAACACCGGUGGCGAA
This 681-nucleotide ribosomal RNA is filed under the name Corallococcus sp. RNAcentral describes it as "bacterial SSU rRNA". It matches the Rfam family "Bacterial small subunit ribosomal RNA", at positions 55 to 719 of the family's 1533-position model. The record is from RNAcentral. Lineage: Bacteria; Pseudomonadati; Myxococcota; Myxococcia; Myxococcales; Myxococcaceae.